Leopardus geoffroyi (Geoffroy's cat) is the source of this 9812-nucleotide long non-coding RNA. RefSeq lists it as uncharacterized. Lineage: Eukaryota; Metazoa; Chordata; Mammalia; Carnivora; Felidae. The transcript is spliced from 23 exons. The record is from RefSeq and is a predicted model, not a curated record.
UCGUGCUGGGGUCUCACUGUGAGACUGACCUGUCGAACCAGACCCCGUUCAGACAGUGAGAAACUGCCACAUGAGAGUAGGUAAGAAGAAUCUAGAGCAUGUAGUCUAGAGAAAAACAAUUCAGGAGUGACACACUACUCAAGGUUCUCCACAUUCCUGAGGGCAGACUCAGUGUGUGGACAUUACAGAGAGAGAGAUUUCAGCUUCAAACCCAAAAGAAAUGUUUAAUAAUUCUGAGCGGGCAUUGGCUGAAUCAGGACACAAUGCAGUCUCUGGAGCUGAUGUCUCCACGCAGAAGCCAGGACAUUACUCAGGACUCCCGAAUGGGGCUGAGCACGUGAGCCGCUAAAACUGCGUGUGGGGGAGCUAGCUCCCCAUCUCAUCCCGCCACAUCGUGGAGGAAGGGGCGUCUGCAACAGGGGCCCUAAGGCUGGGGAAGGAGGCGAUGCCUUUUGCUUCUGGAGGACGGGUGUCAUGCUCAGAGGAAAGUAUCCUUGGGAACAGAGGUGGUGCUGUGCAGAGGCGAGCCUUCAGGGUUUCAAGUGCUUGGACCUCGCCCAGCUCUGGCCGGGUGCCGGGAAUUGAGAUGGUGUCAGGUGACAAGAGGCCACCUUCCCUGCAGCUGGCCUCCUCCUCAGGCUGUGAUGAAGGAGUCAGAAUACCUGCAACGGCCACACAACCACGAUGACCGCAGACUCCCCAGCAACCACAAUUGCAGCCACCACACUGUGGGGCCAUAUGACCAACAUCAGCAAUCGCUACGGUAAACUGCAGCAAGCACACAAGCACACAACAGCAGUCGCAACCACACCAUCUGCGCGACCACACAACACCCACACAAGCACCGCGACCUGCAGCAACCACUGCGUCAGUGGCCACUUAUCAACUCUGUCUCAUGUUCAGAUUUGAGACCCGGAAAGGGAGGUCUGCCAUGCCUCCUGAGACAGAUCAGCAGAGGCCUGGGAGGCUUCUCGGACCUUUGGGUGGGAAUGAGCCGGUGGGAACUUGGAUCAGGUGCAGUACAAGGGAUGUACAAGCCUGCAACCACUGCGGAAGUUCUUCAAAGGACGAUGCUGACCUUACCAGCGUGUAGUAAAACAAGUACAUGAGGCGGCUCUGGGGGCCUGGGAUGCAGCAGUGAAAACACAACACAAGGUUCCUGCCCUCGUGGUGUUCACAGUCCAGUGGAGGAAGACCGGCAGACAAGAGGCAAGUACCUGUAUAUCAGAGGUUGGUAAGUGCUGGGGAGACAAUUAGCAAGGUGAGGGCGAGGGAAGUGCUGGGGAAGGGAUAAGGUGGUCAGGGAAGGCCCGAGAAGAUACGGUUUGGGCCGCAGAGAUCUCUGAAGGAAGUAGAACAUUCCAGGCAGGAAGAAUAGCAGGACACAGGCUUGGGGCAGGACACUUUCCAGGACAGCAAGGAGCCCAGUGAGGCUGGCGUGGGCUGAGUGGUGGGGCAGUGAUAGGAGGUGAGUGUGUGUGGAGGCAGAGGGUGGAUGGCGUGGGGCCUCGUGGACUUUAGGCCACUUGCCAAGGGAGCCCUGGGAGGGUUUUGAGAGGAGGAGUGAACUGGUCUGAGUGUUAAAAGGAUCUCUCUAGGAGACCCGAGAUACCCCCUUUAUCUGUUUGGCAGCUGCACCUGCUAAACUGUAGUCCCUCAGCUAAAUCAGGGGAAAGACAAAGAAACCAGUCUUUGUGGCCCCAUCCUUGGUCCUCUUACCCCACUUCUCCUUAGUGGAACCACCUGUCUGUGCAUGGCAUAUGCAUGGUCCUCUCCCCUCUUCUUUUGCAGGGCGGUUCCCUGCCCACCUCCUACCUCAUCAGUCAUUUACACUUUAGUGAGAUCAAGGAUGUGUAUUGCAUUACUGUCUCUAAGGUUAUGAGUUGAAUCGUGGCACCCAAAAGAUAUAUUGAAGGCCUAAUUUUCCAGUACCUCAGAAUGUGACCUUAUUUGGAAAUAAAGUCAUUGCAGAUGUAAUUUAGUUCAGAUAAGGUCAUACUAGAGUAGGGAGCACUCUUGGUGCAAUAUGAUUGGUGUCCUGGUAAGAGAGGGACCCCGAGGAUUGCUGGAAACCCCUCACAGCUAGGAAGAGGCAAGGGAAGAUCCUCCCCUAGAGAACUCAGAGGGAGUAUGACCCUGCCAGCAUCCUGAUUUCAGACGUCCGGGCUCCGGAACUGUGAGAGAACAAAUUUCUGUUGCUCUAAGCCACCCAGGUUGUGGCACUUAGUUAUGGCAACCUGAGGAAGCCGAUGCCAGGGAUAUUAUCUUUUUUAGAGACAUUCUUCUAAUUGCGAUGCUCUGUUUUGGGGGCAUCCUGGAGCUGCAUGAGAAUUCAGAAGGGUCUAUUUCUCUCCACGGCCAGGGUCUGUUCACAGGUCAGGGAUACAGAGUGAUCAAAACAGAGUGCCCUUCAAACAAACACUUGCAUGCAAAUAUUCAUUGUAGCAUCACUUAAAAUAGUGGAAGGUACAAACGACCCAAAUGUCCAUCAGCUGACCAAUGGCUAAAGAAAACACGGCAUAUCCAUACGUGGAGUAGUAUCCAGCCAUCAAAGAAACAGAAUAGUGCUUUGAUCUACAACACGCAUGGGCCUCGAAAACAUUAUGGUAUACAUGAAACCCAGAGUUCCUGCCCCUGCAUUCAAGUGAGAGGAGACAGAUGAUUAACAGAUAAAUAUAUAUUUAAGAAUGAACAGUCCCAGGAGACUGUAAGGCUUGCUUUGGAUGUCAAGCAAUCUAAUGAGAGCUCUACCAGGGGCAUCUCCUGUCUGGGUGACCAUGCAGCACAAUCUCGACUAAGGUGAUAUAUAACCGGACCAUCCUGAUCUCAAUCCUGUACGGUGCCGUGAGGUUGGGGCAUGGGAGAAGAGGAGGAGGGGGGCCAUGUUCCUUUCAUGAUCUCCUUUUACAUGUGUUCCCUCCAGCUGGUCACCACCCUGUGUCACCACUUGCACUUUGCAAAAGAGGAAGCUGAUGCAGAAGGCGUGAGAAGUCUGAGGAAGAGACAAAGCUGAGAGGUGAGGAAACUGAGGCCCACAGAGAUGCAGAACUUUCCCAGUGUCACCAGAACGUAAGUGGCGGAGCCAGGACUGGAGGACUGGAGGAAAGGCCCUCAAGUAACCAGCCUCAAAAGCAGGAUGCAGCUAAUUGAAUGGGACGGUGAUGAUUCCUUCUUCAGUUGGUCAAACAGCUAAAUCCGCCUUCGAACCUGCGGCCGCGCAGCUCCUGUGACGUCCGUUUCUGCCUGUUUCGGGUUUGGGGGAUGUGCAGCCACACACCUUCCCUGUCUGUGCUCCAAGCCCACUAACAGCCCGUUCACACCACUCCAAGUUCAUUACUGCAGAGAGGUGGGAGCACGUAAGGGGAGUGAACCGGAGACUUAGGACUCAACUGCACCAGGCACCUGAUGAAAAGUGAAGAAGCAGGACGCCCGGCCGGCUCAGUUAAGUGCCAGAUCCUUGAUUUCUGCUUGGGUCAUGAUGCCAGAGUUGUGGGAUUGAGCCGUGCGUCAGGCUCUGGGCUGAGCAUGGAGCCUGCUUAAGAUUCUCUCCCUCUGCCCCCUCCCCCGCUUGCAUGCUCUCUCUUUAAAAUAAGGAAAAAGUGAAGAAGCAAUAAAAGAAGGAGUGAGUGCCACUGCCUAGUAACUGUGGGACUCUAAGCAACAACUGGCCCUGGCCCCCACCCCCUUUCAAGGAGAAAGUCUUCAAAUAGCAGAGGGAGGAGGGGGGAGGAGGAGGAAGGGAGGAGAGGAGGAGGGGAGCAGGGCCUACCUCUCUGACCCCGCAGAGUCACCUCAUGUGAAUAAUUAAGCCCCGAACAAGCUGAGGAAACCGUUUUCUGCAAGCAGGGAUUCUGGGAAAAUGUGAAGACCCGAGCCGAAUUAGCCCUACGUGUUGUUCUAAUGCGUGUUUAACUGUGUGUGGUUUUUGCACGUUUAACGCGUUAAGUGUGUGUGUAAAUAUCUUUGAAAGCCCGAAGUCCCAGGGUCUCCCACGGAGGCCACUGUGAGGACUGCACAGGUUUCCUGCAUUCCUGAGUCUUUGAGGCCCCGCUCCCUGGGGACUCUGCACAGAGAAGGAGGCCAGAGCCUGCAGGUGAGGGCCCCCUGGGUCCCUCUGCCAGAUACCUGGGGGUGAGUUACAGGUGUCCCCGGAGCAGCAGAUCCACACCAAGGGUUACCAAGGCAACACCUGCUCCUCCUGGGACAAGAGAGGAAAGGAGUGCUGACAGAGUAGGAUUGCAUGAGCUGCCUUUCCAGAGGGAUCUGGGCUAAAAAUACCCAUGCAGUUGGCACUUGCUGGGUUUCGGGAGCCUCUGCCUCAUGUCUGGCUCCUGGUGUUCUGACCCUCCAAUGCAGGGUGCAGGACCACGGGGGUGUGGAGGGCAGGCGCUUGAGAACACCCCUGAUGGCCUUACCGUGGCGUGGGGGCCUGAGUCAGAGCUGGGGUGAAGAAGAGGAGGGACAUUGUCUUCCUGGCAGACCCAGGGCCUGUCUUGUUUGCCUGCACCGGAAGUCAAUAGGUUGGUCACUCCUGGGCAGCCCACCUAGGGUAAUCAAACCGCUGGCAGCUCCUGAGGACACUGGAGACCGGUACAGAAUGCUCUUGAACUUGCCUGCCCUUCCUGAGAGGUCCCUGCCAGCCUGGGAUUUGCUGACCCGGGGCUUCCCGGUUCCUUGGGUCCUACGCUGCAGGGGCACGCACUGAAGCAGAGAAAUGAGCUCAGACCCCUGCUCUUCCCAGGCUUCCAGUGCACGCUUCUGAAGGCAGCCUUCAUGCUGGGCCUAUGUACACAGACCGGGAGAGCUGAGGUCUGUGCUCAGCUUCAGUGUGUCCUGGGAUUCGGACAUCCGGGAGUCUCUGGGCAUCAAGGACCUCUGAAGCUGGCUGUUGAACAACCUGUGUGCCCUGCAGAUAGACGGCAGAUGACAGACUCUGUUUCAUGCCUCCAAGGCUGCAGAGCUGAAUCAGAGAAACCUCCAGUGGCUUAAGGUUCACUAGGUCCUUACCCAUCCCUUUCCCUCUCUGUGGCUGAGACUUCUCUGCGUGAGCCUGUGCAGCUCCUUCCUGGGAACCUCACCUGGCAGGGACCGUUGGCCCCCAUGGCAGCCGGGAGGAUGAAAGCAUUUUUUGGUCUGUGCCUGUUCCCUCCAGUCCGGGAGUCCCCUCUUUGAGGAGAGCUGUGACUCCUGAGUGGGGCACAUCUAUUAAUUUUUCAGGGCUGCCGUAACAAAUUACCACAAACUGAGCGGCUUCUAACUACAGAAAUGCAUCCUUUUGUAGUUCUGGAGGCCAGAAGUGUGAACUCAAGGUGCGGGCAGAGCCACGUUCCCUCAGAAGGCUCUAGGAGAACCUUCCUCACCUCUUCCUUGCUUCCAGUGGUUGCUGGCAGUCCUUGGCACUCCUUGACUUAUAGAUGCGUUACUCCCACCUCUGCCUCUGUUGUCACGUGGCCUUCUCUCCGUUCCUUCCUCCGGGCGGCAUUUUCACGGCUCCUUCACCUCUCUGGAUGUGAACAGGAGGCACCACAAUCUUCUGGUCUUGGUUUGGCUGCUUCAAGGGCCACCUUGUGGACAGUCACUGCUCUUCUGGAUAUUUCGUUCGUGUGCGUCCUGGCAGGACAACAGAAGCGCCCUGGGCUGUGGUGGGAGCGUUCUGAGAACGGGAUGCACUCUCUGUGCCUGGUCAGAUGCAGCUCUCCGUGGUGCUGUCUCUCAACAGCCCCUUCCUUGACUUGUAUUUUAUUUUAGCACUGCCUCCUAAAUUGCAGUGAAGUGUGAACUCACCUGUUUCCUCUCUGGACUCUAAGCUCCAUGAGGUCAAAGGCUGCGCUUUUACUCCAGAGAUUCAGCCAGGAGAAUGGUAGACCCUUAGUAGAUGUUUGCUGAGCAGAGGAUACUUCAGGGAGCUCACCAAGUCCAUACUCAGGGAAUAAAGUAGUGAAUGAACGAAUGUGGGCCAUUGUCAUGGAGUAUUACUUGACUUAGACAAUGACAGCUGCUGUAGAAAGCUCAACACAUGGACCUAUGACAGUAUCUGUCAGGAGGACCUGAUCAGCCCUGAGAGCCAAGGAAGGCUGGCUUCCUUGGAACGUGGCAUUCAAACUAUGCUUUGAAGAGACAGCCCUCUCUGUUGGAGUUUUUCUGCACUGGCUGAGGAAACUGGUUCUGCGUGAUGUGUUAUUGCCCCUCCUUCUGAACAGGAACAAUGUUUCAUAUGAAGCAAAUGUCUUUCAGUUCCUGGUGGCAUUUCUGACAGCUUCUGGAAGAGGGGUUCUGCUUGGCAGAUUCCUGGAGUGUCUUCUACAUGCUUCAACCUGUUCUCUCCCAGUGUGGUGCACUUCAGGUCUGGGUUCACAUUGAGCCACCUGAGAGGAGCUGGGAACGUGCUGUUUCUCAUCAUUUCCACCCAGCAAGAGAAUUGGAGAGAAAGAGCUACACCCAAGCCAAUUAUGGCAGGGUCCUUGGGGGCUGUUAUGUAAUCUUCCAGAGACAGUGGAAUGGAGUGGGCCUUGAGUUCCAGUGGGCACACUGGCUGAAGUCUUUUCUGUACUCCAGGUCUUGGGCCAUCUGUGGUGGAGCAAGCUCCCUCAAUGCUGAAGAAAGUCCUUUGGCAGAGAAGAAGCUUACAGCAUGCUGGGACCUGCCUGCUGCACCUGUGGGGGGAUUUAGUGCCUUUCAUUGGCUGAGCUCAACUGGAAGCAGAAGGAAACGUUGCCUGGAUAAUGCAGUCCACAGGGGUCUGUCUUCUGAAGGACAGCAUGGGGCAAAGAGAGCCAGAGGAUGGGGCAGAGAGGUGGCAAUGAGAACACAGUCUGACUGAUUGCUUCCAGAAUGCCUCCCCCCUUUCCAUCCAAUCUCACAGUCGUCAUCUUUGUUACAGCAUCAUCAUUCUACCCGUGGACUAUUGGGACAACCUCCUAACACAUCUCCCUAUCUCCAAUCCACCAAUACUAACGCCUGUGACACAGACUGAGUCCUACCACUUCCCUUUCAGAGAACUCUGGUGUUUCUCAUUCUCUACUCCUUACUGAAGAUGGCCAGAUGAAAGGCAAUUUAGGGGAUAAAAAGACAAUUCUGAGACUUCACAUCUUAUUUCUAAAAAGGAGAAUCAGUAUUAAGAAGCUGGAAAUGGGUAAUUUCACCAUAAAAAGGGUGUGGUUAAAAAGAGUGUAAAUUUGACUCUUUAAUGUCUUAGCAUCAUAGCCAAGUCUCUUCUCAGUUAAAAUUUUCCUUCCAGACUUGUUUUCCAGGACUUGUGUUCUGCAUUCUCCCAUGUGCCUUGGGUACCAGCCCUGACAUCACUGGCCUGCACCAUCCAUGCUGAGAAUUCUAUACCUUUGCUCUUGCUGUUCCUCCAGCCCAGAAAGCCCCUCCCCAGCUGGCCUCCUUGGUGGAUGGUUUGAUCAACAGUUCAUGGUUUUCUAGAUGGAGUGAAGAUACCAAAAUGGAGUAGGAGACAGAUCAGAAACCUCAAGAGGGGAAGCUCAAGGCAUAUAGGAGCGAAUUAUGGUGAGAACUUGCCUAGUUUCCAAGAGGUGGAUAGGAAUGGGAGAAGGCAUGCUAAUGUUGCACAGAGAGGGCUACAUGAGGACCCCAGUUAGUUUCCCUACACAUUGAUCGGUUCAGUUGAAAGCUCUUGUCAUGCCCUCAAAUAGCUCUUCCCAUGGAAUCAUUAUGAACCCAAAGAUGGCUUUGGCCUCUUGCCCACCCUCCCAGCAAUGAACACACACAGCCUGUUGGUCAUUGUUGUGAGAGAGACUCCCAUACUUGAGACCUGGACUCAGUGUGUGGGUUGUGCUUCUCCAGGCACUGCCUGUGACCAGACAGCACCAGACCUAGACAUUGGGCAUCUGCUCCUGCUGGGUCUGCAGAUGAAGAUAGGGCAGUAGAAGGUGAGAUGUACCCUGCUCUGAAUCAGAGUACAAUGACAGGCAGAUAAGCACAUGUAAAAUGAAACCACCAAACCCACUCCUACUUCUGAUCACUGAGCAGCCACCUCAGAAAUGUAAUAGGAAAAUUAUUUGGAAGCUAGUUCUCUGGAUCAAGACAGAUUUGUAUGAGGAGAAUGGAGUUAGGGUGUCAUCUCCUGGUUCUGUGGUCUCCCUGUAUUUCCUUGGCCAACAACACUUUUAGCCUUUGCUUCUUCACUUCCUCUUUCUUUUGGUUUGCUUUUCAUCCCCCAAUGCUUGAUCUCCAAUUGGGGUUCUCUGAGUUUCAGUUUUGCAUCCCAGUAAAAAAUGGGAUUCUCCCUCCAGAGGAGGACCUAAGUUUUUCUUUGUAAUUUACUAUAUCUUUAUAAAGUUCAGAGAACAUCCUCAGAUCCUAGACUGUUUAUAACUUCUGAGUUUCACUUUCUCUCAGCAGGUUUUCUUAUGGAGCAGGUUUGUUAGAAUAGAAUGAGCUGCUGAUAGAUAAGUGAAAUAUACAGAAAGAUUUCACAUAUUAACAGGAUUGAUUAAUCCAUGUGUAGACACCAUAACAUCAGGGUUGUGAGGGAACAGUAUGAAGUUUGGAAAAGUUUUUAUGGGGCUUAGCCUCUAAUAGGUGAUAAUAGGACCCAGGAGGCUCUCAGAUAAACUAAUUAUAAUUACAAUGCUAAUGAACAUGUUACAUAUAACUUCCUGAAUUACUUUAUGAAUGGAUAGCCAUGAUCUUUUAUUUUUAUACAUGUAUUUUAUUUCUGUAAUUUGGGGGAGAGGGCUUCAGGUUUAGAGAGUUGCAUUAAUUACCCUCCUCUGUUUGUGGAAUAUAAUUAUCAUCACUCAUUGCAUUUGCUUUCUUAUAUUAUUAUUUUUUAUUACAUAUUAUUUAUAACAUAUUAUGUUGUAUUACACAACAUUGACAUUUGUGCUGAAAUGCUCAAUCUAUGACCAUAAGAAUGCACAUAUCUAUGAGGAAUAGGAUGUUUUGUUUAUGUUUCUUUAAAAAAAAUUAUUAUGGAGAAUUUAAAACAUUUACUGAAAAAGACAGAUGGCCUAAUGAAUCCCCUACUCUUAUCCUUAUCCUACCUAUCCUGCCUAUCCCUUAUCCUACCUAUCACUCAGCUUGAAUGUUUAUAAAUGCAUGGCUCCUAUUUUCCCCUACUAUAUUGUUCCUUUCCAUCUCCUCAUUUUUUUUAAGGCAAUCCCAGGUGUACCAUUUAAUCUAUAUAUUUCAGUAUCUCUUUCUGAAAGACAAAGACUUCCCUUUUUAAACAUGACCAUAAUGCCAUUGUCGGACCUCAAAAAUCAUCAAUAACCUGUAAUAAUACCAAGUAUCCAGUCAUUGUCCGCAAUUCCUGAUUGUACUAUAAAUGUUCUUUUCUUUUGUUUAUUUUUAUUUGUUUAUACUAUGUUUGAAUCAAGAUCCAAACAAGGUCUAUGUAUGAUAAUUGGUGACUAUGUUUCUUAAAUUUCUUUUAAGCUAUAGUUUCCAUUCCAUUUCUUUUUGUCCUUGGAAGUUUUUGUUGUUGAUGAGAUGCAGUGGUUUCCUAGUAAGAGUUUCCCACCAUUUGUUGUUGUUGUUGUUGUUGUUGAUUGCAUCCUUUGAUAGUGUUUAUUUAACAUGUUCCUCUGUCUCUGGUAUUUCUACAAAUUAUAUAUUAGAUCUAGAGGUUUGAUCAGAUUCAAGUUUGAUUUUGGAGAAGGACUGACUACUUCAUAGGUGGUACUGUGCACUUCCAUGAGAAGUGAUGUGAUAUUUAAUUGUCUUUGUGUAAUAUUAGUAGCCCUUAAUGAUCAGUACUCAUAUUUAAUUCAGUAGAACUUGCAAAUUUAAGAUAUCCUAAUUCUGUGAUUUCUUUUUCAACAUUACUUUGGCUAUUCGGGGUCUUU